This 22-nucleotide small nuclear RNA is filed under the name Arabidopsis thaliana (thale cress). Its description in RNAcentral is "snRNA_05436". Lineage: Eukaryota; Viridiplantae; Streptophyta; Magnoliopsida; Brassicales; Brassicaceae. The record is from RNAcentral.
GCCCGCCUAUUUAGGCGGGUGU